CCUACGGGAGGCAGCAGUAGGGAAUCUUUCACAAUGGGCGAAAGCCUGAUGGAGUAACGCCGCGUGCAGGAUGAAGGCCUUCGGGUUGUAAACUGCUUUUAUAAGCGAGAAAUAUGAUGGUAACUUAUGAAUAAGGAUCGGCUAACUACGUGCCAGCAGCCGCGGUCAUACGUAGGAUCCGAGCAUUAUCCGGAGUGACUGGGUGUAAAGAGUUGCGUAGGUGGCAUAAUAAGUAGCUAGUGAAAUCUGGUGGCUCAACCAUUCAAACUAUUAGCUAAACUGUUAAGCUCGAGACCGUUAGGGGUAACUGGAAUUUCUAGUGUAGGAGUGAAAUCCGUAGAUAUUAGAAGGAACACCAAUAGCGUAGGCAGGUUGCUGGGACGGUUCUGACACUAAGGCACGAAAGCGUAGGGAGCAAACGGGAUUAGAUACCCGUGUAGUC
This 442-nucleotide ribosomal RNA is filed under the name uncultured bacterium. RNAcentral's name for it is "partial 16S ribosomal RNA". It matches the Rfam family "Bacterial small subunit ribosomal RNA", at positions 338 to 795 of the family's 1533-position model. The record is from RNAcentral.